RNAcentral lists this ribosomal RNA (497 nucleotides) under uncultured bacterium. RNAcentral describes it as "partial 16S ribosomal RNA". It matches the Rfam family "Bacterial small subunit ribosomal RNA", at positions 28 to 507 of the family's 1533-position model. The record is from RNAcentral.
GAUGAACGCUGGCGGCGUGCCUAAUACAUGCAAGUCGAGCGAACAGAUAAGGAGCUUGCUCCUUUGACGUUAGCGGCGGACGGGUGAGUAACACGUGGGUAACCUACCUAUAAGACUGGAAUAACUCCGGGAAACCGGGGCUAAUGCAGGAUAACAUGUUGAACCGCAUGGUUCUACAGUGAAAGGCGGCUUUGCUGUCACUUAUAGAUGGACCCGCGCCGUAUUAGCUAGUUGGUGAGGUAACGGCUCACCAAGGCAACGAUACGUAGCCGACCUGAGAGGGUGAUCGGCCACACUGGAACUGAGACACGGUCCAGACUCCUACGGGAGGCAGCAGUAGGGAAUCCUCCGCAAUGGGCGAAAGCCUGACGUAGCAACGCCGCGUGAGUGAUGAAGGUCUUCUGAUCGUAAAACUCUGUUAUUAGGGAAGAACAAAUGCGUAAGUAACUGUGCGCGUCUUGACGGUACCUAAUCAGAAAGCCACGGCUAACUACGUG